Molecule: ribosomal RNA, 1547 nt
Filed under: Salmonella enterica
Lineage: Bacteria; Pseudomonadati; Pseudomonadota; Gammaproteobacteria; Enterobacterales; Enterobacteriaceae
Also listed under: 1 other name
Description: partial 23S ribosomal RNA
Rfam family: Bacterial large subunit ribosomal RNA
Source: RNAcentral
AGACCCGAAACCCGGUGAUCUAGCCAUGGGCAGGUUGAAGGUUGGGUAACACUAACUGGAGGACCGAACCGACUAAUGUUGAAAAAUUAGCGGAUGACCUGUGGCUGGGGGUGAAAGGCCAAUCAAACCGGGAGAUAGCUGGUUCUCCCCGAAAGCUAUUUAGGUAGCGCCUCGUGAAUUCAUCUCCGGGGGUAGAGCACUGUUUCGGCUAGGGGGCCAUCCCGGCUUACCAACCCGAUGCAAACUGCGAAUACCGGAGAAUGUUAUCACGGGAGACACACGGCGGGUGCUAACGUCCGUCGUGAAGAGGGAAACAACCCAGACCGCCAGCUAAGGUCCCAAAGUCAUGGUUAAGUGGGAAACGAUGUGGGAAGGCCCAGACAGCCAGGAUGUUGGCUUAGAAGCAGCCAUCAUUUAAAGAAAGCGUAAUAGCUCACUGGUCGAGUCGGCCUGCGCGGAAGAUGUAACGGGGCUAAACCAUGCACCGAAGCUGCGGCAGCGACGCUUAUGCGUUGUUGGGUAGGGGAGCGUUCUGUAAGCCUGUGAAGGUGGCCUGUGAGGGUUGCUGGAGGUAUCAGAAGUGCGAAUGCUGACAUAAGUAACGAUAAAGCGGGUGAAAAGCCCGCUCGCCGGAAGACCAAGGGUUCCUGUCCAACGUUAAUCGGGGCAGGGUGAGUCGACCCCUAAGGCGAGGCCGAAAGGCGUAGUCGAUGGGAAACGGGUUAAUAUUCCCGUACUUGGUGUUACUGCGAAGGGGGGACGGAGAAGGCUAUGUUGGCCGGGCGACGGUUGUCCCGGUUUAAGCGUGUAGGUGUGUGUUCCAGGUAAAUCCGGUUCACUUUAACACUGAGGCGUGAUGACGAGGCACUACGGUGCUGAAGUAACAAAUGCCCUGCUUCCAGGAAAAGCCUCUAAGCAUCAGGUAACAUCAAAUCGUACCCCAAACCGACACAGGUGGUCAGGUAGAGAAUACCAAGGCGCUUGAGAGAACUCGGGUGAAGGAACUAGGCAAAAUGGUGCCGUAACUUCGGGAGAAGGCACGCUGACACGUAGGUGAAGUGAUUUACUCACGGAGCUGAAGUCAGUCGAAGAUACCAGCUGGCUGCAACUGUUUAUUAAAAACACAGCACUGUGCAAACACGAAAGUGGACGUAUACGGUGUGACGCCUGCCCGGUGCCGGAAGGUUAAUUGAUGGGGUCAGCGCAAGCGAAGCUCCUGAUCGAAGCCCCGGUAAACGGCGGCCGUAACUAUAACGGUCCUAAGGUAGCGAAAUUCCUUGUCGGGUAAGUUCCGACCUGCACGAAUGGCGUAAUGAUGGCCAGGCUGUCUCCACCCGAGACUCAGUGAAAUUGAACUCGCUGUGAAGAUGCAGUGUACCCGCGGCAAGACGGAAAGACCCCGUGAACCUUUACUAUAGCUUGACACUGAACAUUGAGCCUUGAUGUGUAGGAUAGGUGGGAGGCUUUGAAGUGUGGACGCCAGUCUGCAUGGAGCCGACCUUGAAAUACCACCCUUUAAUGUUUGAUGUUCUAACGUGGACCCGUUA